UCCCAGGCGCUGGUGGAGUCCGGAGGGGAUGUGAAAAAGCCCGGAGACUCUCUCCGCCUCUCCUGCAAAGCCUCCGGGUUCACCUUCAGCAGCUACGGCAUGAGCUGGGUCCGACAGGCUCCCGGGAAGGGGCUGGAGUGGGUCGCCCGUAUCAGCAGUGGCAGUGGGAGUAGCACAUACUACGCUGAUGCAGUCAAAGGGCGAUUCACCAUCUCCAGGGACAAUCCCAGCAACCUGCUGUAUCUGCAAAUGUCCGGCCUGAAGCCCGAGGACACCGCCCGCUAUUACUGCUUGCGGCACCAGACAGCUGAUUGGCGCCACAAUCCUGGGAGGGGGAGAAGUGGAGCGGUGACAGCAUAA
Mauremys mutica (yellowpond turtle) is the source of this 360-nucleotide non-coding RNA. NCBI's taxonomy places the organism in Eukaryota, Metazoa, Chordata, Testudines, Geoemydidae. The record is from the annotation of a RefSeq genome assembly.